RNAcentral lists this unclassified non-coding RNA (217 nucleotides) under Hevea brasiliensis (rubber tree). Lineage: Eukaryota; Viridiplantae; Streptophyta; Magnoliopsida; Malpighiales; Euphorbiaceae. The record is from RNAcentral.
UUUUUUUUUUUUUUUUUUUACUUAGUGAUACUAGUGCAGUUUCACAUUUUAUAUGGCAUUCAUAUGUAUGGGUUGCAUUUGUAAUUUGUAAUUGGCUUUGUUGUUUUCCCUGUUGUAAUCAUUCUCUUAAAAGCAAUAUCAGACUAUCUACGUGGAGAGCUCAUUUUCUUUAUCUGGUAGUAGUGUUUUGCUGAGCACAAUCUGGUGUAUGCUUGUU